This 532-nucleotide ribosomal RNA is filed under the name uncultured Phycisphaerales bacterium. RNAcentral describes it as "bacterial SSU rRNA". It matches the Rfam family "Bacterial small subunit ribosomal RNA", at positions 527 to 1050 of the family's 1533-position model. The record is from RNAcentral. Lineage: Bacteria; Pseudomonadati; Planctomycetota; Phycisphaerae; Phycisphaerales.
GAGAGGUCCGAGCGUUACGCGGAAUUACUGGGCUUAAAGCGUACGUAGGCGGAUCUACAGGUAUCCUGUGAAAGCCCACGGCUCAACCGUGGAAUUGCAGGGUAAACCGUAGAUCUUGAGGUGGCUAGGGGCUCUCGGAACGGUAGGUGGAGUGGUGAAAUGCGUUGAUAUCUACCGGAACGCCAAAGGGGAAGCCAGGGAGCUGGGGCCAUUCUGACGCUGAGGUACGAAAGCGUGGGUAGCGAACGGGAUUAGAUACCCCGGUAGUCCACGCCGUAAACGAUGUGCACUAGGUCGAGGGGGUUUGACGCCGCUCUCGGCUGAAGCGAAAGUGUUAAGUGCACCGCCUGGGGAGUACGGCCGCAAGGCUAAAACUCAAAGGAAUUGACGGGGGCUCACACAAGCGGUGGAGCAUGUGGCUUAAUUCGAAGCAACGCGAAGAACCUUAUCCUGGGUUUGACAUGUAUGGAUUAGCUUUCUGAAAGGGAAGUGACGCGGUUUACCGUGGAACAUACACAGGUGCUGCAUGGCU